RNAcentral lists this transfer RNA (76 nucleotides) under candidate division WWE3 bacterium CG22_combo_CG10-13_8_21_14_all_39_12. RNAcentral's name for it is "tRNA-Lys". It matches the Rfam family "tRNA". Rfam says of the family: Transfer RNA (tRNA) molecules are approximately 80 nucleotides in length. Their secondary structure includes four short double-helical elements and three loops (D, anti-codon, and T loops). The record is from RNAcentral. Lineage: Bacteria; candidate division WWE3.
GGGUCGGUAGCUCAGUUGGUAGAGCAGGAGCCUCUUAAGCUCUUUGUCGUGGGUUCGAGUCCCGCCCGACCCACCA